CACGUUUUCUCUCCUUAAAAAAAAAAACUACAAAUGGGUGAUACAUGCAUCUUUGAACUACUGAACAAAUCAUCAAUCAUCUUUACAAAUGCAAACAACAACAAAACUAUAAACACUACUAAUUGGAUCAAAAAGACUCUAAACAUACCCAAAGCAAACUCUUUUAAGCCUCAUUAAAUAUAAAAAACAAUGAUAAAAAAAUUUAAGUUUCUCAAGUAGAUAAGGGUAAAGAAAGAAAGAUCUAGCUAACUUUUACACAGUCAACAACAACAAAUAAGAAAAACAUAUAUACAUAAAAUAAAGCCGAAGAAAACAAGAAAUAAAUUCACAAGAAAGCAAAUAUCCAACAAAACAUAAACUUCAUAGCCAUAUUCAAGAAAAAAAAAUAAAACUCCAGUUAAAUUGUCACGUAUAUACAGAAAUAAGAACAUACCUCACAUCUAGGUAGAGGAAGAUGAGCGAAAGAUACAAGCAAAAAAGGGAAAUACAAGCAAAAAUAAUAAUAAUAAUAAUAAAAUUACAAGAAUAUACCCAAAAAUAAUCGUCACGAAUUCUAUGGUUUUCUUACCUAUGAUUGAGAUGAGAACUGCG
RNAcentral lists this long non-coding RNA (591 nucleotides) under Olea europaea subsp. europaea. Lineage: Eukaryota; Viridiplantae; Streptophyta; Magnoliopsida; Lamiales; Oleaceae. The record is from RNAcentral.